RNAcentral lists this long non-coding RNA (796 nucleotides) under Zostera marina. RNAcentral's name for it is "long non-coding RNA (ZMAR_LNC000785)". The record is from RNAcentral. Lineage: Eukaryota; Viridiplantae; Streptophyta; Magnoliopsida; Alismatales; Zosteraceae.
UCCUACCAUAUUUAUAUAGGACUAGUUUCAGCCUUCAGGUGAGAUAUUGAAAAAAAGAUAUCGUGAGAUAUUUAUUUUUCAUAUGUUUAUUAUCAUCCUCAAGAUGUGAAAUUGGUCUGACCUCGAGAUGUGGUCUGCAAAUUAAACGAUUAAAAAAAAUGAUAAUGGGUUAAACCGUGGGAUGAAUGAUAUCUCACAGGAUAUCUCAUGUAUGACAUCUCACCAUAAUAUAAGUCCUAAAUAUUUAAUAAGUUUGAUAAAUGCCUCAUGGACCACGAUUGGUUUUCGGGUUUAUGUGUGAGCAGUAGCCGGCCUCAACCUUCAAAUUCAGCCCGAUGUAGGUGGUAUCAUCCAUACUUCGAUCACUUGAUCACUGAAGGCCCGAAAGAAUCCUUUUUAUUUGCCCCAAACUUUUUAUAUAUUGCAAGCCAAGAAAUCAACCAACCACCUAAUUUAUUAUGCUUCUGAUACGUACCUGAUUGACUAUGAAGACAUCACUGGAUACGUCGAUGCUAUUGGGAAGAUCGCUGAAGAAUACCUAACAUCCGAUUUGGGGGAAGAAGACGGUUCGCUGCAGUUGGGAGAAGUGAACCGGCAAAAUCACUCCAGAUUGAGGAGAAAGACCGCUAUACCAGCCCGGUUUAACGAUUUCUUUAUGGGCCAAGGAAUUAACGAUUAAUAAGCUCGAUAAGAAUUAAUUUAGUAUUUUCUCUUUUAAAAUCCCCCUGUAGUAGUUUAAUUCUGUUUUUCAAAUUCUUGGGUAUAAAACGGCUAUAAUGAUUGAAUAAAUUUUUAU